This 321-nucleotide long non-coding RNA is filed under the name Bos indicus x Bos taurus (hybrid cattle). RNAcentral's name for it is "lncRNA (ENSBIXG00000017241.1)". The record is from RNAcentral. Lineage: Eukaryota; Metazoa; Chordata; Mammalia; Artiodactyla; Bovidae.
ACACACUCCACUUUGAAGAGACAAGCCACUGGAAUUGGGCUCUGCUUCUGCAAGCCUGGCAUUCUCCACCCCUGCCUGGUGGAGCUUGGCUCAGGCUUCCAUCCAAGACAGAAGCAAUUGAUUCUUAAAGAAGGGCUAAUAUUCCCAGGAUUUUAAACAGCGGCAAAACUCAUUGGUGAAGGAUACAGCUCUGGGUUCUUUUCCAGUUGCGGUAAGCGGCUCUAUUCUUGGUUGACAGGCCUUUUGUAAUCUGUAUGUGACUUAAAUCCGGAAAUGAAAUAUAAAAUGAAGCCCUUGUUAUGGGCACAGAGGAAACAGUAU